This 583-nucleotide ribosomal RNA is filed under the name uncultured bacterium. RNAcentral describes it as "bacterial SSU rRNA". It matches the Rfam family "Bacterial small subunit ribosomal RNA", at positions 333 to 918 of the family's 1533-position model. The record is from RNAcentral.
GGGCGUACGGGAGGCAGCAGUGAGGAAUAUUGGUCAAUGGGCGCAAGCCUGAACCAGCCAUCCCGCGUGCAGGAUGAAGGCCCUAUGGGUCGUAAACUGCUUUUAUACACCAAGAAAAACACCCACGUGUGGGUGCCCGACGGUAGUGUAUGAAUAAGCAUCGGCUAACUCCGUGCCAUCAUCCGUGGUAAUACGGAGGAUGCAAGCGUUAUCCGGAUUCAUUGGGUUUAAAGGGGUGGGUAGGCGGCUUUUUAAGUCAGUGGUGAAAUCUUGCCGGUUAACGGUAAAGUUGCCAUUGAUAGUGAUAAGCUUGAGUACAAUUGAGGUAAGCGGAAUGUGUAGUGUAGCGGUGAAAUGCUUAGAUAUUACACAGAACACCGAUUGCGAAGGCAGCUUACUAAACUGUCACUGACGCUGAUGCACGAAAGCGUGGGGAGCGAACAGGAUUAGAUACCCUGGUAGUCCACGCCGUAAACGAUGAUCACUCGCUGUAUGCGAUACACAGUAUGCGGCCAAGCGAAAGCAUUAAGUGAUCCACCUGGGGAGUACGAUCGCAAGGUUGAACUCGAAGGAAUUGACGGGG